UUUCCGUAGGUGAACCUGCGGAAGGAUCAUUAUUGUAUAACCGAGGUGCGAGGGCUGUCGCUGAACCGAAAGGUCGUGCACGCCCGAGUGCCCUCAAACACAUCCAUCUCACCCCUAUGUGCACCACCGCGUGGGUCCCCCUUUGGCUUGUUCGGAGGGGGGCUUACGUUUUCACACAAACUUUGUAUGCAGUGUAGAAUGUAUUUUUUGUUUUUGCGAUCACGCAAUCAAUACAACUUUCAACAACGGAUCUCUUGGCUCUC
RNAcentral lists this unclassified non-coding RNA (263 nucleotides) under plant metagenome. RNAcentral describes it as "partial contains small subunit ribosomal RNA, internal transcribed spacer 1, and 5.8S ribosomal RNA". The record is from RNAcentral.